Molecule: long non-coding RNA, 461 nt
Filed under: Phoenix dactylifera (date palm)
Lineage: Eukaryota; Viridiplantae; Streptophyta; Magnoliopsida; Arecales; Arecaceae
Description: long non-coding RNA (PDAC_LNC008758)
Source: RNAcentral
UUUAAACUUUAGAUUAGAAGAAGGAAUAGAGGACUCAUGUUGUCAUUUGGUUUGGCAAUCCAUUAUGUUCUAUUGGAUUGUAAGUAUUUGUAGUUGUGGUAUUGAAUUGCAUUUGGUUAUAAAGCCAAUGACGGUUAUCUGCAGCACCAAGUUUGGCAAAAAGUUGUGAACAUCAAGGUCAUGUAUAUUGGCAUGACAACAUUGCAUGCUUUGGUAUUGCAAGAGUACUAGUUUCAUGCAAGUCAAAAGUGUUGGCUUAGUAAAGCACGACAUCGGGUUAUCAUAAUGACUUGGCGGGUGAAUUAGGCAUUUCCCAUACAUAAAAUAAUUGCUCUUUUGAUGCUUUCGAAGAUCCCAUGCAUACCGAGUCAUAUGAAUUAUGCAUGUUGUACAUGACUAAAUGUGGAUGACAUGCCCUCGCAAACAACAACAACAAAAACAAAUGAAUUAUACAUGUUUCU